AUAUCAAUAAGCGGAGGAAAAGAAACCAACAGGGAUUGCCCCAGUAACGGCGAGUGAAGCGGCAACAGCUCAAAUUUGAAAUCUGGCUUCGGCCCGAGUUGUAAUUUGUAGAGGAAGCUUUUGGCAAGGCACCGACUGAGUCCCCUGGAACGGGGCGCCAUAGAGGGUGAGAGCCCCGUAUAGUUGGACGCUGAGCCUCUGUAAAGCUCCUUCGACGAGUCGAGUAGUUUGGGAAUGCUGCUCAAAAUGGGAGGUAAAUUUCUUCUAAAGCUAAAUAUUGGCCAGAGACCGAUAGCGCACAAGUAGAGUGAUCGAAAGAUGAAAAGCACUUUGAAAAGAGGGUUAAAUAGCACGUGAAAUUGUUGAAAGGGAAGCGCUUGUGACCAGACUUGCGCCUGGCCGAUCAUCCGGGGUUCUCCCCGGUGCACUCGGCCAGGCUCAGGCCAGCAUCGGUUCUCUUGGGGGGACAAAGGUCCCGGGAACGUAGCUCUCUACGGGGAGUGUUAUAGCCCGGGGCGUAAUGCCCUCGAGGGGACCGAGGACCGCGCUUCGGCAAGGAUGCUGGCGUUACGGUCAUCAGCGACCCGUCUUGAAACACGGACCAAGGAGUCAAGGUUUUGCGCGAGUGUUUGGGUGUAAAACCCGCACGCGUAAUGAAAGUAAACGUAGGUGAGAGCUUCGGCGCAUCAUCGACCGGCCCAGAUGUUCUCGGAAGGGCCUGAGUAGGAGCGUUAAGCCUUGGACCCGAAAGAUGGUGAACUAUGCUUGGAUAGGGUGAAGCCAGAGGAAACUCUGGUGGAGGCUCGCAGCGGUUCUGACGUGCAAAUCGAUCGUCAAAUCUGAGCAUGGGGGCGAAAGACUAAUCGAACCAUCUAGUAGCUGGUUAC
RNAcentral lists this ribosomal RNA (887 nucleotides) under Podospora striatispora. RNAcentral's name for it is "eukaryotic LSU rRNA". It matches the Rfam family "Eukaryotic large subunit ribosomal RNA", at positions 40 to 958 of the family's 3401-position model. Lineage: Eukaryota; Fungi; Ascomycota; Sordariomycetes; Sordariales; Podosporaceae. The record is from RNAcentral.